RNAcentral lists this ribosomal RNA (752 nucleotides) under uncultured Glomus. Its description in RNAcentral is "SSU rRNA". It matches the Rfam family "Eukaryotic small subunit ribosomal RNA", at positions 338 to 1092 of the family's 1831-position model. Lineage: Eukaryota; Fungi; Glomeromycota; Glomeromycetes; Glomerales; Glomeraceae. The record is from RNAcentral.
GGCCUACCAUGGUGGUAACGGGUAACGGGGUGUUAGGGCACGACACCGGAGAGGGAGCCUGAGAAACGGCUACCACAUCCAAGGAUGGCAGCAGGCGCGCAAAUUACCCAAUCCCGACACGGGGAGGUAGUGACAAUAAAUAACAAUACGGGGUUCUUUCGGAUUUCGUAAUUGGAAUGAGUACGAUUUAAAUCUCUUAACGAGGAACAAUUGGAGGGCAAGUCUGGUGCCAGCAGCCGCGGUAAUUCCAGCUCCAAUAGCGUAUAUUAAAGUUGCUGCAGUUAAAAAGCUCGUAGUUGAAUUUCGGGACCAUCAUGUCGGUCGUGCCUCGGUACGUACUGGCAUUGUUGGUUUCUCCCUUCUGACGAACCAUGAUGUCAUCUAUUUGGUGUUGUGGGGAAUCAGGACUGUUACUUUGAAAAAAUUAGAGUGUUUAAAGCAGGCUCACGCUUGAAUACAUUAGCAUGGAAUAAUGAAAUAGGACGUUUGAUUCUAUUUUGUUGGUUUCUAGGAUCGACGUAAUGAUUAAUAGGGAUAGUUGGGGGCAUUAGUAUUCAAUUGUCAGAGGUGAAAUUCUUGGAUUUAUUGAAGACUAACUACUGCGAAACCAUUACCCAAGGAUGUUUUCAUUAAUCAAGAACGAAAGUUAGGGGAUCGAAGACGAUCAGAUCCCGUCGUAGUCUUAACCAUAAACUAUGCCGACUAGGGAUCGGAUGAUGUUAAUUUUUUAAUGACUCAUUCGGCGCCUUACG